Molecule: ribosomal RNA, 467 nt
Filed under: uncultured bacterium
Lineage: Bacteria
Description: partial 16S ribosomal RNA
Rfam family: Bacterial small subunit ribosomal RNA
Source: RNAcentral
GACGAACGCUGGCGGCGUGCUUAACACAUGCAAGUCGAACGGAAAGGCCCUGCUUUUGUGGGGUGCUCGAGUGGCGAACGGGUGAGUAACACGUGAGUAACCUGCCCUUGACUUUGGGAUAACUUCAGGAAACUGGGGCUAAUACCGGAUAGGAGCUCCUGCUGCAUGGUGGGGGUUGGAAAGUUUCGGCGGUUGGGGAUGGACUCGCGGCUUAUCAGCUUGUUGGUGGGGUAGUGGCUUACCAAGGCUUUGACGGGUAGCCGGCCUGAGAGGGUGACCGGCCAAAUUGGGACGGGGAGAGGGCCCAGACUCCGAGGGGAGGGAGGAGGGGGGAAUAUUGAACAAGGGGGGGAAGCCGGAUGCAGCAACGCCGGGGGGGGGAGGACGGCCUUGGGGUUGUAAACCGCUUUCGCCUGGGACGAAGCGGGAGGAAGGGAAAUGGGAAAAGAAGCACCGGCUAAAUACGG